This is a long non-coding RNA of Oncorhynchus mykiss (rainbow trout), 3200 nucleotides long. Lineage: Eukaryota; Metazoa; Chordata; Actinopteri; Salmoniformes; Salmonidae. The record is from Ensembl.
UGGGGUGUAGUGUCGUUGUGGGGUAUAGUGGGGUGUAGUGUCGUUGUGGGGUGUAGUGUCGUUGUGGGGUAUAGUGUUGUAGUGUCGUUGUGGGGUAUAGUGUCGUUGUGGGGUAUAGUGGGGUAUAGUGUUGUGGGGUAUAGUGUCGUUGUGGGGUACAGUGUCGUUGUGGGGUAUAGUGUUGUAGUGUCGUUGUGGGGUAUAGUGUCGUUGUGGGGUAUAGUGGGGUAUAGUGUUGUGGGGUAUAGUGUCGUUGUGGGGUACAGUGUCGUUGUGGGGUACAGUGUCGCUGUGGGGCACUGUGUCGCUGUGGGGCACUGUGUCGCUGUGGGGCACUGUGUCGCUGUGGGGCACUGUGUCGCUGUGGGGCACUGUGUCGCUGUGGGGCACUGUGUCGUUGUGGGGCACUGUGUCGCUGUGGGGCACUGUGUCGUUGUGGGGCACUGUGUCGUUGUGGGGCACUGUGUCGUUGUGGGGCACUGUGUCGUUGUGGGGCACUGUGUCGUUGUGGGGCACUGUGUCGUUGUGGGGCACUGUGUCGCUGUGGGGCACUGUCGUUGUGGGGCACUGUGUCGUUGUAGGGUAUUGUGGCAUUGUGGGGUAUUUUUGUGUCGUUGUUGGGGUAUUGUGGGGUAUUUUUGUGUCGUUGUGGUGUAUUGAGUCGUUGUGGUGUAUUGGGUUUUUAUGGGGUAUUGGGGUAUUGUGGCAUGGCAUUGUGGGGUAUUGUCGGGUAUUGGGUCUUUAUGGGGGUAUUGUCGUAUUGUGUUGUGUGGAGAUAGAUGAGGAUUUUAUAAUUAAUCAAUUUUAGAAUAAGGCCGUAACAGAAUGUGUAAAAAGUCAAGGGGUCUGAAUAGUUUCUGAAGGCACUGGUGUAUGUUUACAAGAAGUUAUAUUUUAUUUCGUUGUUUAUACUCAACAAAGACGGCUACAUAUUAUGAAAAUACGUUAUCUGUAGUGUUGUGUCGAAAAAUAAAGAGCCAAGUAAAUAAUGACUUUGAUUGGUUCUUUCAUUUGUGAUACACAGUAAGCAAAUGUCAUUAACAAGAGUUACCUCAGGUGUGUUAGAAGAUACACCUUAGUUACCUGGUAUGGAGGAGAGGAUCAUAGAGAUGACACUGCAGGGUUGGGGUGAAUUUCAAUCCCCUAUGAAAGUGAAGUGUCAUUUUAACUUCUGGGUUCUGGUUUUGUAGGCUAAAAAUGGGCUCCAAAUGGGCAUCUUCAAAUGAAUUUGAGAUAUAUAGUACCAGGCAAAGGUUUGGACACCUACUCAUUCAAGGGUUUAGAACACCUACUCAUUCAAGGGUUUUAGAACACCUACUCAUUCAAGGGUUUAGAACACCUACUCAUUCAAGGGUUUUAGAACACCUACUCAUUCAAGGGUUUAGAACACCUGCUCAUUCAAGGGUUUAGAACACCUACUCAUUCAAGGGUUUUAGAACACCUACUCAUUCAAGGGUUUAGAACACCUACUCAUUCAAGGGUUUUAGAACACCUACUCAUUCAAGGGUUUAGAACACCUACUCAUUCAAGGGUUUAGAACACCUACUCAUUCAAGGGUUUAGAACACCUACUCAUUCAAGGGUUUAGAACACCUACUCAUUCAAGGGUUUAGAACACCUACUCAUUCAAGGGUUUAGAACACCUACUCAUUCAAGGGUUUAGAACACCUACUCAUUCAAGGGUUUAGAACACCUACUCAUUCAAGGGUUUUAGAACACCUACUCAUUCAAGGGUUUAGAACACCUACUCAUUCAAGGGUUUAGAACACCUACUCAUUCAAGGGUUUAGAACACCUACUCAUUCAAGGGUUUAGAACACCUACUCAUUCAAGGGUUUAGAACACCUACUCAUUCAAGGGUUUAGAACACCUACUCAUUCAAGGGGUUUUCAUUAUUUUGUACUAUUUUCUACAUUGUAGAAUAAUAGUGACGACAUCAACACUACGAAGUAACACAUGGAAUCGUGUAGUAACCAAGUGUUAAACAAAUCAAUAUUUAAACAUAAAUAUAUUUGAGAUUCUUCAAAGUCGCCACCCUUUGCCUUGAUGACAGCUUUGCACACUCUUGGCAUUCUCUCAACCAGCUUCAUGCGUAAAGGUUUUUUUCCAACAGUCUUGAAGGAGUUCCCACAUAUGCUGAGCACAUGUUGGCUGCUUUUCCUUCACUCUGCGGUCCAACUUAUCCCAAACCAUCUCGAUUGCGUUGAGGUCAGGUGAUUGUGGAGACCAGGUCAUCUGAUGCAGCCCUCUAUCACUCUCCUUACACAGCCUGGGGAUGGGUUUUGGGUCAUUGUCCUGUUGAAAAACAAAUGAGAGCCAGUUUCAUCAUAGCGCUCGAUGGUUUUUGCGACUGCAUUUGAAGAAACUUAUUUACAUUUUACGGAUUGACUGAUCUUCGUGUCUUAAAGUAAUGAUGGACUGUUGUUUCUCUUUGUUAUUUUGAGCUGUUCUUGCCAUAAUGUGGACUUGGUCUUUUACCAAAUAGGGCUCUUCUGUAUACCAACCCUACCUUGUCACAACACAACUGAUCGUCUCAAACACAUUAAGAAGGAAAGAAACUCCACAAAUGAACUUUGAACAAGGCACACCUGUUAAUUGAAAUGCAUUCCAGGUCACCAGUGGUAGAAAAAGUACCAAAUUGUCAUAUGAGUAAAAGUAUAGAUACCCUUAAUAGAAAAUGACUUAAGUGAAAGUCACCCAGUAAAAUACUACUUGAGUAAAAGUCUAAAAGUAUUUGAUUUGAAAUAUACUUAACUGUCAAAAGUAGAAGUAUUACUACUUACAACUUCCUUGUAUUAAGAAAACCAGAUGGGACAAUUAUCUUUUGUUUUAUUUACAGAUAGCCAGGGGCUCCAACACUCGGACAUCAUUUACAAACCAAGCAUUUGUGUUUAGUUGUUCCGCCAGAUCAGAGACAGUCGGGAUGACCAGGGAUGUUCUCUUGAUAAGUGUGUGAAUUAGACCAUUUUCCUGUCCUGCUAAGCAUUCCAAAUGUAACUAGUACUUUAACUGAAGUACUUUACACCACUGCAGGUGACUACCUCAUGAAGCUGGUUGAGAGAAUGCCAAGAGUGUGCAAAACUGUCAUCAAGGCUACUUUGAAAAAUUUUAAAUAUAUUUUGAUUUGUUUAACACUUUUUAUGGUUACUACAUGACUCCAUAUGUGUUAUUUCAUAGUUGUGAUGUUUUCACUAUCAUUCUA